UUAAGGGGGUUCGCGGGUCUAAAUCAUUUAUAUAGGAUUUGUCUAUAUUUUUCUAUAAAUAAACUUUAUCUUAUAGUUAAUAGAAAAAUAAAAAAAAAAGUGGGGUCACCGUUCAUUUGCGCUCACAAUCUGCCUUCGAAAGAAGCAUACAUUUAUGUAAAGGUGGGUUUUUUCUGUUGAAGUAAUAGGAGAAAUAAAGAUAAUAUCGAAUUAAAAAAAGAAAUUUAUAACAGAAAUCGCUCAAAUUUUACAAUAAUUUAGUUUAAGUACAGCUUAUAUGGAAAGUAUAUUAAAAAACAUAGGUCACCGAUGAGUUAAAAAAGAUAUUUCAAUUUUAAAGCCAAAAAAUGGCAUUUUUCCACCAAAGGGAGAUAAUUUGGAACUUUUUCAAUGAUCUAUACAUUUUAAAAGUCAUCUGGGGCCAACACGAAGUGGUUGUUUUGAAUGAUUUUUGUACCAUAUGAUAAAGUAACAAUUACAAAAGGUAACAAAUUAAAUUUGUAGUGAAAAUCAAAUGUUUAAUUUUUUUCUGAAAUUUUUAUACCCUCGAGCCUCC
This 556-nucleotide long non-coding RNA is filed under the name Mytilus galloprovincialis (Mediterranean mussel). The record is from RNAcentral. Lineage: Eukaryota; Metazoa; Mollusca; Bivalvia; Mytilida; Mytilidae.